ACCACGCCCACGGCCCCUUCCCCUGCCACGACCACGCCCUGCAAGACCCCCUAGUGAGGUUUAAUACAAGAACAGAAUUUCAUACAAACUAACAAUAACUAGGAACACAAAAUGCUAAAAAUAUGCAUGGUUGUAAAGAUUAUGGACAACUCAUAUUUUCUCCCUUCAAUUUUCCCUAAAUGGAAUUGUUUGCUAUUAUAUCCUUGAACUUCUUUAUUUGGUGCUAUCAAUUCCAAUUUUGCUGACUAAACAAAAUUAGUCAAAAUUGAUAUUAAAAUCUUUGCUAACAUCAUUGACCAUGCCACGACAUUUUUAAAUACAUUUUUUUUUCAUUUUUGUCAAAAAUAACAAAAUGCAUUCUCUUCUUAAAUAGAGAAAAUUAAUAUCUAAUUACAAUUCUUUAACCUUGACUAUGUCAAAUUCAUAUGAGCAAUUUUUUUUCAAAAAAAAGGUCAUUAGAACAAGAAAUUAAGUUUUUCAAUAUUACUUUGAAAAAUCAGUAUUAUAUUAUAUUAAAAAAAUGAAAAGUAACAGAUUUUAAAAAAGACUGUCUUCUACCAUG
This 562-nucleotide unclassified non-coding RNA is filed under the name Hevea brasiliensis (rubber tree). Lineage: Eukaryota; Viridiplantae; Streptophyta; Magnoliopsida; Malpighiales; Euphorbiaceae. The record is from RNAcentral.